This 7249-nucleotide long non-coding RNA is filed under the name Marmota monax (woodchuck). Lineage: Eukaryota; Metazoa; Chordata; Mammalia; Rodentia; Sciuridae. The record is from RNAcentral.
UUUAUUCGGGUAUGUUUUGGAGACAACUGUUUAUAGAAUUUUAUUGUAGAUAUAUACGAGAACAGAGCGGUACUUUACAUGAUUACUUUUCCUGUUGAUUGUUCAAAUAUAAUUUAAGAAAAUUCCACUUAAUAGGCUUAUCUAUUUCUAUGUUUUUAGAUAGUUGAUGCAUGUGUAAAUUUGUAGCUGUCUUGGAAAGUACUGUGCAUGUAUGUAAUAACUAUAUAAUAUGUGGAAUAUUAUAUAUGACUAUUACUUAUACAUGCACACGCACUGUGGCUUAAAAUACCAUACCUACUAGCAAGGGAGGUUCAGUCAGACUCUCUUAUAUUAUUUACCUUCUGUGUUAUGUGUUACUUUUAUGUUAGACAAUCAGGGUUUUGUUUUUUCAGCCAGAGUUUUCAUCUAUAGUCAACAGCAGAUCGGUACCAGGUCAGAAAUAAGUUUACAAAGAAAUCCAUGUAAUGCACAGCCUCUGUAUAAAAACUCUUAUUUCUAUCAGUGACAUCAAAGCCUUGUCAAGAUGGUCCAUACUGAGUUGGGGGAAAGACUUUGGAGCCAUUUUCCUGUUUUGAGAAUUGGGCUGCAGAUAAUAUUGAAAGGCAUGGGAUGCUUUUUGACCAAACAAUUAGACAUUUCCUGUUUUAUACCAGAACAUAUAAAACACUGUUUUUCUUAGGGUUUGGAUUUCUGGUUGUGACAAAAACUUGAUUUUGGUGCUCAGUGUCUUCAACCAAUACGGUCUGUGCAUUAUUACCACCAGCCAUUUGCUCUAGAAAAAUAACAGUAAAAAAAGUAAACCAGUUCCCAGUGUCCAUCGCCAUUUGGGGUAAACAUUUUCUCUCUAAUCAUUUUUUGACAAAGAGGCAGAAGUAGAACAUACAAGGUUAAAAAGUAUUUCUUGAUAUUCAUCCUUAUGUAUUUGUUAGAAAAAACAACAAUAAAAUGGGGGAGGCAGAGCUUUCUAUGUCAUUCUAGCCUGGGGCUUCUAAUUUUCUUCAACUCCAAAACACUGUAUUAUUAAAAUAUAGCAAAAACUUGACAGAUUAAAAAAUAUGUAUUUAUUCUAUGGAAGGAAUAUACCCAAUGCCACAACUACUUUCUCUGCAGUUUGAAAUUGCAUUAUCCAUCCAUCCUAGAUUAUAUUUUUAGGAGCCCUUAAACUUACAGAAUGCAAGAGUGACAUCAAAAUCAGAGAAUUUGGGCAUUCUUGUAUAAGUUCUCAUCUCUCAGGUAAAAUUAAGCAUAAAUUCCAAGACAUUUGUUUUGUCCAUGUCCCUGAGGCCUAUGUCUUUGGUAUUAUCUGAGCCAAAGUAAGAUUGUUAAAAAUGGAAACUAUGAGAGAAAUUUACAUUAAGACAGUGAAAAUUACAAUCUCCUUAAGUGUAGGCCAGACUGUGCAUAAAGACCUGCCAUUUUUCCCUUAUCAAACACACAGCGCUCCCCCCUCCUUUCUCUCUCUCUCUCUCUCUCUCUCUCUCUCUCUCACACACACACACACACACACACACACACACCUGCUUUGUAAAUUUCAAAUCAUGGGGACCUUGACUGUUUUUCAUUUCCUAUGAUCUCCUAAAGUUCAUGGUCAAGUGCCAUCUCCAUGUUGCCUCAGAAUUCCUGAUUGGUGAUCAAAACAGUAGUGUUAGUCUUUUCCUUUUAGAAAACGAAGGCUUUUCUUACCUCAUGAUUGAUGAAUUCCAAACCAAUGGGGAAAAACAAAAAGGCUUUAAAAUAAUGAAUCUCUUUCUCGACUAGUUAUAUUCAAUUAAUUUAACUACAUUGAACCAAAUUACCUUUGGUUUAAGAAGACAGCUGUAGACUGCUUAUUAUGCUGCUACAGGGACUCAAUUCUUUUUGGUAUAAAUGUCACUCCUGCUAGCUCUUUGUAUAAAGAAUUAAUUCCAAGAGUCAUAUUUCCUUCUAAUGGAAAGAUUACUUUACUGAUUGCUAGGAAAGCAGGGUAAUGGAAGGCACUCAAUUAAACCAAGCCGUUUCCAAAUGCAAUGUAUGUUUUAUGAUUGGCUUGUGAUAGGCGAUGCUUAAUGUGUCUACUUGGUGUUUCCCUUUGAGCUUUGAACUUAUGUCAAACUUUGUUUUCAUUGUUCUGUUGGCCUAGUGCUUCCCAUUGUUAGCUUGUAAUUCCUGCUCUGUUGCAAAGGGAAUCAUUCGUUGCCUCCAGUUUACCUUAGAGGAUUUAAAUUGGCUCAAUUGAUGAAGUAGCUGAGAAUUUUUUCCUCCCUUGUCCCAUGGGUGGUGUAGGAAAAAAGAUUGUUCCCCGCAUUUGUCUCGGGAGAUGCUGGUUUUGAUUUUGUGUCAUUUCCACUAGUGCAAGCAUUUCAUUGGGACUGCACGAACUUUUUGAAGCCAGGGACACAGGAAACAGAGCUAGCAACUGAACCAGAACAAUGCAAUGGAAACCAACCAGUACAAGCUCAGCCCACUUCAGUUGAGAAAAGAGAUUUUCAGUUUUGGCUACAGUUGCCAAAUUUCCCCUGACAGGAGAAUCAAGUCAUGUUUUUCAUAGUAACAAAGCCUAAAAAAGCUGCCCUUUGAACAUCUCUUAUGACUACAUGUCAAGAUAUUUUGAAAAUUUGGUUAAGAACAACUUUCUUUACAACAUACAAUCCCAGCACUUUGUCCUUUCCCCCUGGGAACUAACAAACACACUCCUGACAAGGUGUGCAAUGGAAGAAGGAAUCCAUAGUCUGUACUCCUCACUUCAUGCUUCGUAAACGACAAUCACUGCAGAUGUUGCACUGUCUCUGCUCAGGGAUGUUUCAUUUAAAAAAUAAAAUAAUAAAAAAUAUAUAUAUACAUCAAGAAGGAGGGGAAAAACAGGAAAAUGACAACAAAAUUUCAAUGGCACAAAUUAAAUAUGCCAGUGAGAGAACCUCUAUGACAAGGCUUUCAGACCCAUGUGUAAUUAUUUCAUGUCAUAAACUGAACUGGCCUCUAUUAUUUGGACUUACCUAAAAAUUGCAGAUGAAUAAGGAAAACUUACUUUUAUUUUCUAAAAUCUUCUAAGAGUCAAAUAAUCAGGUGCUCCAUUUUUAGGAGUAGAUAUGCCCCAGAAAAUCCAAGCUUCCUAUGCAAAUCCUAAGCAAGAAAAAGAAGGGAAUCUAACUGGCAUUGGAUGACAUUGACAAGGGAAGUAAAGCUGUGCAGAUUUGAGAGCCAGUGUAUCUGUGUCCAUAGAAGAAAGAGCAAAUUUUGAAAGGAAAAUAAGAGAAGCCUGGCACAGUGGUGCAUGCCUAUAAUCCCAGUGGCUAGGGAGACUGAGGCAGGAGGAUUACAAGUGAGGCCCUAAGCAACUUAGUGAGACACUGUUUCAAAAUAAAAAAUAAAAAGGGCUGAGGAUGUGACUCAGUGGUUAAGCAUCCCUGGGUUCAAUUCCCAGUUCUAAAAAUUAAAAAAAGAAGAAGAAGCAGAAGAAGAAGAGAAGAAGUUCCAAAUCUGCUUUCACUUCCCACAUGACAACUUGCGUCAUUGCAAUAGCCCCUUUUCUGCGGCUCUUUUAUUCUCAAAGAUUAAAAUCUGAGGGAAGAGAUGUACUGUAAAAAUGCUCUUCUGGAUUUCCCUUGUCUUAACACUGUCUUCAGGGUUCUGGAUAGGUACAAAGAGGAAUAUCAUGAUCUCUGGGGUAAGUAGAUGUCUUUGGCAGAAUCUAAGAGACCCUAAAUUGUAAUGAACUCUGUAUGUCAACAAGACAUGUGAGAGAGAUAUCAGUGUUAUUUCCUUUGUGGCUGCCUGGUUCAACCCCUAACUUCCAACAGUCCAACUAAACUGUAGAGAACCAGGCAGAUGGAGAGGCAAUGCACAUUCACUCUACCCUGUUACGUGUACCUGGCCUGAGUGCAAAAACAAUUCUCAUGUCACAGGGUCAACAGAAAACUUACAAUCCCCCCCGCCGAAAAAAAAAAUCAGAGGCAAAUAAUGUCAAUGUCAUUCCAUGUUCUUUGUUUCUGUUUAUUAAAGAAACAAAGAAAAAUUCUACUGCUAUUGGAAAUUAGAGAAAAUAAUUUCUUCCUGAUUCUUUUUUUUUUCUCUUUAAACAGUUGUUUCCAAUGAAGUUACUACAAUAGGUAGUUAACUCAGACAGGGACGUCUAUAAUUGAACACAAGCACCAGUCAAUAGAACAGCAAUAACUAUGGAGCAUGCAUCUGGAGUGAAACUUUGCACAAAGUCCCUUUAUAAAGAAGAGGGAAAAGCUGUCCAUCUGUUUUAGAUGAAGUGCUAUCUGAUGUUAUGUUGGCAAAUGCUAGUACAAACAGCAAAUAGAAGUGAAGGCCUGAUAAGGGAAACCAGGGGGAGCUUUCAGAAAAGACCUGAAAUCUCUUAGCGGGUAAGAGGGUGCAAGUCUCAGGCCCAUGUCCAUUUAAAGCAGAGGUUAUAAAUUCAAAAGCCUAAAAGGACCAGGGAGUGGAUGCAAGUGAGAGAAGCAGUCCAGCAGCAAGCUGGCAAGGAAAUAACCCACCUAACAGAGGACAUCCACUGUGAGGCUGAAGCUCAGCAUUGCUAGAGCUAGUCCUGUAAAAUGUCUUGAGUUGUAAAUAAUGGCAGUUGAUGCAGAGUGUAGACCAAACAAACAUACCUGGGAACAGAAGAGUCCCCUGAGACUGCCAGCUGCAACCUCUGGUUUAAAUCAAAAUCACAGUCUAGCAGCCUAUUCGUCUGUAGAAAAUGUGGCCAGAUUCAUCCAAGGAUGACAUUAGAAUAAUACUAGUGUGGAAGGGAAAGAAGGAGAGAUCUUGCCUUUCUGGCUUUCAGUUAAGUUUCCAUAUGGAAAUAUCACUACUCAAGGAUAUAGUUAGAGGUUAGCUGAACAAAAUGUUGGUAUAAAAAUGAAGACAAUUCAACUUACCAAUGGCUAAUAAAAGAUACUUCUAUUUGUCUUGCCCAAAUUUCCAUCUUGGAUAGCCAGGGGGCUAGCUUUCUUGCCACUUUUUUUUCUAAAAGUCAAAUGCAUGACUUUCGUGUUUUCAAGUCUCAACCUGCGUGGUUCACUGUGUGGCUUCAAUAUCUGCAACAAGUUCUUACUUUCCCUCAGUUGGAUGCAUCUGAAGAAUUUAUUCUGUAAUCAUUGAUAGUGUGGUCCCCCCACAUUCUGAGUGCAGACCUCAGGUUCCUAUGCAGCCGGUGGGGGUUGUCUGUGCACUUUUUUCCUAUGAUAUUGAAAUUGUUCUGAAUCGAAUGGGCCAUGGUCAUCUUUGCCUCUUGCAUGACCAUACGCAUGACCUCCAGUGGAUCAGAGAAAGCAGCUCAGUGAUUAUUCUCACAGCCAAAACGAAAGCACAAGGGUUACUGGAAUUGAAUAAGCCCAGUUCAGGAACACAGGGUGUCUGCUCCCCAGCUGAGCAGCACUUUAUCUCUUAUUCAACUACUCUCUUCUGGCUGUGGCUGAUGGUAAGCACUGUCGUGCCUCUGUCACUACCAUAUGUAGACACACGUGAGGUAUGUCUGAAGAGCUACAAAUCCCACAUCCAGACACGGUACCGUCUGCUUCAUCUGAUUAACACACACACACAAGAAUGAAAACUACACCCACAGAAAACUGAGUAUGUAUUGUAGAAAUGUAGAGGAAAAAUAAAAUAUUUUUUCAAAUGUAAUUACUUUUAAUAUAUGCUUGUGGAAGGUCUAAUACAAUGUAUGCUGUCUCUAAUUUUUGCUGUAAAUAACUGGAGGCAGUGAAUACACUGAUUUUUCUAUGUCUCUGUUUAAGCAUAAGACUUUGUAACAAUUUUUUUAGAGGGGGAAAACAACAAAGAGCAAAUAUGUACUUGCUUCCUUUCUGAGUGUCAUGUACUUCUCAGUUUUUUAAUGGAAACUGGUUGUAACAGUUUAAGCAUCCUGACGGGUCAUCCGUGUUAAGUGUAUGCUUCUUUUUGUAAUACAAUGGAGAAAGGGACAGGGCUGUCAAUUAAAUCUGCUCCAAAGAAUUUGAAUUGAAGAUUGGCCUAAGAACUGCAAACUCUAUCUGAACUAGAUGAUAUGAAAAAAAAAAGUUUAAAAAAAAUCAUUGUCUGAAUUAAGUCAUCUUUCCUUGUAGCAAAUGGCUUUGUCCAAAACCUUUCUGCAUGGAAUAGCUUAAGGAAAACAAACUUUGCUUUCUGAUGAACAAAAUAUUUUUGUACGCGUUUAUUUCUUAUUAAUAAUCUGAGGUCAGACCACUCAUUCGCUGAAGCCAUAACUGACCUUCACCAAAUAAAUGCUGUAAAGAACCUGGGGGAGGGUGGGGAGAGACUGAGAGGGAGGAAAAUCCAAGGUGUCAUGAAUAUAGAAUCACAGGCAGGAGCAAGUCCAAUGAAAUUGAUGCUUUUCCUGCAUCCCAAAUAUGACUUUAAAAGGCUAGUAUUUUAUGAGGAUCGAUUUAUAAUAAUAAUAAUAAUAAUAAUAAUAAUAAUAAUAAAAGAUAUUUAGAUUUAAAUGAGACUUUCCAAUAUUUUUUAAAUCCCUGACAAUGCUUCCUUGCGUUUAGGAUUGAGAGAAAUGAUUUUCAUUACUUCCAGCGUUCAGAGAUUUAAUGUUUUUACCUUAGCUCCAGCCUAUACUUGCAAAGUGCAGAGGAACUCCAUGUCCUCCAGUGAUUGACACCAUGGUCUGUCUGGGGCUAGGCUGUCCCCACUAACCACCAUUGCACCUGCAGGGGCAGUGUGGAAGAGGUACAGUUUGCAUCUCAUUAGCAUGCACACCACUCUUGGCAAUGCACCAAAGUUGCAUUGCCAUGAGUAUGUAAAAUAAAAGUCUUCACUCUGAAAUGCAUAAUAAUUAUAUCUUUUUAAAAGAAUAAUGCCUCCUAUAGUCAACCAUUGAUUUUUCUGGAGUUUAAUUACAUCAUCACCAUGUAUUCUUAUCAGCCUAUAGAGGCAAAAAGCAAACUACACUUAAACCCAGUGACAUAUAUAGUUUUUAAAUCUACAAUUUUCUUCUCUCUCUCUCCUUGUUUAAUAUAUAAGCCCUAAUUUCUGUGUAUGUGAGUAAAACUGCAGCCUGAGUCAUUUAGGAAGUAAGCAUUGAGUUUUUUAAAUUAUAAAUAUACUAGAUUAAAACAGCACUCCCUAACAAUUAAAAAAGAGUUUUAUAUUACUUUAGAAUGUAAUAGGUUUUGUCCUUAUUUUAUGUCCUGUAAAUUAUUAGUUGAAAACUGUUAGCAUUCCCGGAUAAUGCACACAUGAUUUCUGAAUGUUUUCUGUAAAUGACAAUCAAUGUUUAUGAAGUUCCCUCCUUUAAUGCUGAACAAAAUUAAAA